Molecule: ribosomal RNA, 253 nt
Filed under: uncultured bacterium
Lineage: Bacteria
Description: partial 16S ribosomal RNA
Rfam family: Bacterial small subunit ribosomal RNA
Source: RNAcentral
CACGGAGGGUGCAAGCGUUAUUCGGAAUCACUGGGCGUAAAGAGCGCGUAGGCGGUCUCUUAAGUCAGAUGUGAAAGCCCGGGGCUCAACCCCGGAAGUGCAUUUGAAACUAAGUGACUUGAGUAUGGGAGAGGGAAGUGGAAUUCCUGGUGUAGCGGUGAAAUGCGUAGAUAUCAGGAGGAACACCGGUGGCGAUGGCGACUUCCUGGACCAAUACUGACGCUGAGGCGCGACGGCGUGGGGAGCAAACAGG